AAGAGAAAUUAGCUAUCUAAAGUUAGCGAAGGGACAAGAAUCAGGUAUUAGCACACAAACUGCUAACACAAAUCCCGCAGUACCUCGGUAUAAACAUACACACACACCACACACCUUUGUCAAAAAGUUCCAAUAAAAGAAAAUGUGGGGAUUGUUUUUGGCUCAAGUUAAAAGCCCAAAGAGAAUUUCAAUUAACUGUGGGCUUUUCUGCACUGCAUCACUAAGAACAAAAUUUAGCAUAGCUGUCACUAAAGAUUAGAGAAAUCAAGGUUAAAGGAUUUUGACAUUAACAAUGCGACUACACAGCUUUUUUUAUUUCUUGCUUCAAAUAAUCUCCUUUUAAAGUCUGGAACCCUAUUUCCAAGCCAUUCGUGUUCUCCCCAACAUGGUAUGGGAAUAGUUUGAAAGGCUACGUGUAUGAUAAGGCGACCUUUAAACGUUUGCUGGAUCAGCACCGGGUGGGGAUAAGGAAAAGAUCAAGGGCAAACAGAAGAUAUUUACAAAAGGGGCACAAUCAGUACCGAAAAACUGAUUGGGUGGUUAAACGGGACAUUUUAAAAUUAUUUAUUAAUCCAUCUGCGCUCUUUCCCUUCCCCCAUGUCCUUUAAGAAAGGAACGUUCCUUUCAGAGUGCACCAGGCUGACGCUGUGAAUUUCUCUACGCGAAACGGAUCCACAGUACAAAAGCAGCUGAUCAAACAUACUGGCUUGAUAAUUUUGAACUUGUUCUUUUUAUGUAUUUAUGGGAAGACGGCAGUAUUUCUGGGGGAUCCGAGCCCAUACGUGGCCCAGCAGCAGCGCCCUGGCAGGAGCCUUAAGCAGUGGGAGUUACAUAACCAGGCAGUCGGGUCUCAUUAGAUUUCUGCUCACAGCCCUGGAGCUCCGGCGGCAGCGGGAGGAGGAAGAGCAUUUUCUGAGCCCAUAAGAAACCGAAGGAGGAAGAGGGAUAUCUGGAGAGCAGCAUUUUGCCAUAAGUGCUACACGGGCCCCAGGAGAAUUUUGGAAGUGCCAGUCGAAGAAAUGCCAGGACUUUUAUCCCUUUGUAGCUCAGGAAAUAUCUGGGACCAGCGGAGAACAUGAUGACAAUGUUUACGGACAUGUCCCUUACUAAUGAUGUCCAAAGGUGGCCAGAUUACUCACUCCUCUGCAGAUGAGUUCCAGGUGGUGCUCUGAAGAAGUCUGGAACCUGAUUUUCUUGACUUCCACUGUAUCACUGAUGGGCUGUUGGCACCUCAAGCAAUCAGAUUUCAGGUGUCCCAAAGCAUGUACCUCAAACCCAAGGUAGUCAACUUGUGACACUUGCAGAAAGACAACUCCUUAACGCAGCAGAACUUUGAGAUCUAAAGAAAAACAUUACACUCAUCUACUAUGCUGGGAACCAGCACUGAGUAAAAACCAGAGUAAAGAUGAGAAUGAGAGGAGACAAGUAUUUUAUUUUUAAACCUUAUGAAUUUCUUAGUAGUUCUGCUUUGGUACUUUCCUAGAGAGGAAGGCAGGGUUGGAAAGAUCAGAUUUUCAAACUCGGCUCCCUCCCUGAUACCACACUAAAGACUUGUAUUACCUUUAACUGAUGUUUCUGAGUGCAUCCUCACUGAUUUACUCCAGCUGUGCUCUUUAUGCAGGGAACAUUCUAUUCUCAGAGCAUAAUCUAGACCCAUACGAACAAUAUUAGAUGUUUCCUGAUAACAUAAUUUAGAAAGAGAAGAUGUAAUUGCUGCCUGUGCUGAAUGCACAGCAUCUCUCUGCCUGCCAGAGCACUGCAAACUCAUGACCCCUUUUGGAAUCCAUAAAGGGAGAAAAGUCCCAAAUCCUUCAUUGUGGUUCUCAUUUUGUCAUUUCCAUCUUAUUAAAUAUGCUGGUCCUUGUGCCUUUGAUUUUAACUUCCUAAGGAUAGCUUAUGAUGAAAUUUUUUAGAAGGCUCUCAGAAGCUUUUAGAUGAAAUUCAGGGAUCAUUCAUGCAGAAAUGUGUCUGUUUGUGGGGCACAAAACAGCAGCAACUUGGGCAUCUGCUGAGGAAAAAUGGGGAGGGGACCCAGAAAGGUCUUCCUCCGGUAACUUGUAAUUAUAAGAAGCACAACAAAGCAGGUUCUUGUUAAGGACUUCCCUAAAUACUUGAAGAGGAGGUUGGAACUCAUUUGACCUGCUCCAAAACCAGUUGGCUUGGCUAUGCAUAGUCCAAUUGCUGUGGUUUAAAAUGAGUAGCUGGAGUGCUUUUGUCUUCUAAAUCAUCCCACAAGCACUGUGCUUCACUGUCUUCUCUCUGAUGGAAGGAUAUCCAGGGUGAGACAUUACAAUUCAAAUUUUCAUCUCUAGGGUCAAAUUUGUCUCAGUUCAAUAGCACCUGGAAAGCACUGCCGUGUAGUGGGGUUUGAUGUGAAAUAAGCGUAGGUCCCUCCACAGCACAGUCAAUCGAGAUCCACAGCACAGAAAAACCACUACUGUAAUUGCUCUCUGUAUCAGCUGCCUCAGGAAAAUAUAAAAUAAAAUUA
This is a long non-coding RNA of Vidua chalybeata, 2488 nucleotides long. RefSeq lists it as uncharacterized. NCBI's taxonomy places the organism in Eukaryota, Metazoa, Chordata, Aves, Passeriformes, Viduidae. The transcript is spliced from 4 exons. The record is from RefSeq and is a predicted model, not a curated record.